RNAcentral lists this ribosomal RNA (573 nucleotides) under Micropterus salmoides (largemouth bass). RNAcentral's name for it is "partial large subunit ribosomal RNA". It matches the Rfam family "Bacterial large subunit ribosomal RNA", at positions 1816 to 2597 of the family's 2925-position model. The record is from RNAcentral. Lineage: Eukaryota; Metazoa; Chordata; Actinopteri; Centrarchiformes; Centrarchidae.
CGCCUCUUGCAAAUAAAGAAUAAGAGGUCCCGCCUGCCCUGUGACUAUAAGUUUAACGGCCGCGGUAUUUUGACCGUGCGAAGGUAGCGCAAUCACUUGUCUUUUAAAUGAAGACCUGUAUGAAUGGCAUAACGAGGGCUUAGCUGUCUCCUUUUUCAAGUCAAUGAAAUUGAUCCCCCCGUGCAGAAGCGGGGAUAAAGCCAUAAGACGAGAAGACCCUGUGGAGCUUUAGACACCAAGGUAAAUCAUGUUAAUCAUCCCAAAACAAAGGGCCAAACCAAAUGAAAAUUACCCCCAUGUCUUUGGUUGGGGCGACCGCGGGGAAACACAAAACCCCCAUGUGGAAUGGGACUACUCCCUCCUACAACCCAGAGCCUCCGCUCUAAUGAACAGAAUUUCUGACCAGCAAGAUCCGGCAACGCCGAUCAACGAACCGAGUUACCCCAGGGAUAACAGCGCAAUCCCCUUUUAGAGUCCAUAUCGACAAGGGGGUUUACGACCUCGAUGUUGGAUCAGGACAUCCUAAUGGUGCAGCCGCUAUUAAGGGUUCGUUUGUUCAACGAUUAAAGUCCU